This 5469-nucleotide long non-coding RNA is filed under the name Cricetulus griseus (Chinese hamster). RNAcentral's name for it is "lncRNA (ENSCGRG00015039267.1)". Lineage: Eukaryota; Metazoa; Chordata; Mammalia; Rodentia; Cricetidae. The record is from RNAcentral.
UGUAAUACUAGUAGUUUUACUAAUUAGAUCAUCUUUGAGACCUCUCUUUGUAUUCUAGUAAUCAUUCCUGGGACUGGUCAUUUCAAAAGGCUAAAGCAAUGCUUAGCAUGGCAAAACAACAUUAUAUGUGGUUUUUUAUUACAGGUGUGUCUGUCUGGUCCAGCCAAUUUGUCCAGUCCAUGCUUGAAACGAGGAGUGUGGAUUAAGGGAAGAAAUAGACAAGAAACACAAGAUGGAGUCGGAAGGACAUCCCAUAAAUACGAUAAUCAGCCCCAAGUUUAUUGCUCUAAGUUCUUAUAUACCCCAAUCAAAGGGGGGAAGGUAAAAAUCUUCCUUACCCCUGCUACAAGAAACAAGCAAAUGUAAUUACCUCCUUAAAACCCAAAACAUCAAGUAACCACACCCUAAGCCAAUUAUCCUAUUGUUUAGGUAAGACAUCCAUUAUCUACACCUUCAGCCAGAUAUCCUGUUGUCUAGGCAAAACAAUAGCCUCACCAUAGACCAAACACAUUGAGGUUUAACUUUGAAGGAACAAGAACAGACUUGAACUCUAUGACCUUAAGCCAAGAUGGAACGGAGCCACUUCUAUGGGCCUCCACACAGGUGUGCCUUUUAUUCCACCCUGACCAAAAACUAAUUGGAUUUUGCAUUUACAAGCUGAGAACAUGUAAUACACUCAGUAGAUAUAUCAGCAUCAUUUGGGGUCAGUAGUAUUGUGUCCUCGUUGUUUCCCCCAAGCUCUUGGCUUGAUGAGUGAAAAUCCUUAUGGUUCCCUAAGUUAUCAGCUUACUUUUCCACAUGGAAAAAUGUCUCUUCUUGAUGUAUUUGUCAUCUAUCUUCAGACAUUUCCUUUACCCAGUGGUCUCCAGGACGUUGUCCUGGUUGGAUAUAUUGAAGUGACAGACAUCCUGGGACUUCAUUCCUUUUAUUGAAAGGACACAAACAUAGCCUUGCCCUAAUGUUAAAAGAACAUGUAUUCCUUUCCAUUAAUUAGUUUCUAGAUCUUUCUUGUUGCAUGAAAAAUAAAAGACCCAGAGACAGAUAUUGGGGUUCAAGCUUCAAGCUGAAGAUCAGAGAAGCAAUGCAGCCAAGCCAGUAGAUCUUAACCCUAGCUGAAAUGGCAAUCCUGUCUCCAUGAAUCCUCAGAGGCAAAAGCUCCCAGUUCCUGUCUCCUGCUCCUUUUAUUCCUUUCUCUGCCCAUCCAUAUCACUCCUGUCUCCUCCUUCCUAGUGCUGGGAUUAAAGGUGUGUAAUCCCAAGUGAUAGGAUCAAAGGCGUGGGCUCUGUUAUUCUUUUAGACUGAUUCAAUCUUGUGUAGGUAUGGGUGGCCUUGAACUCAGAGAGACCCAUCUGCCUUUGUCUCCUGAGUCCUGGGACUAAGGAUGUAUGUCAACACUGCCUGACUUCUAUGGCUAACUAGUAUGGCUGCUUUUCUAUUUUGAUCUCUAGUGGCUUUAAUAAAUUAGGUUGUUGUCUCCUUUAGGGCAAAAAUGCUUCUGAGCUAAAGAAGAAUCAUUAUCCUGCUACCAAAAGUUCAGCUCCCAACUCAUGUGGAGACCACUUCUCAACCACAGGGCACACUAGCCAGAAGACCUGAGACAAAACAGAAACCAAGGAACAAAACACCCACCCAACAAAGACAAAUGCAGAAAUUAGCACCUAGUCCUAUAAUGACUUCAAACCCAAAUGACUAGACUCCAGCAUAAGAAGACAGUCAAAAACAGUCAAAAACAGUCAGGGGAAUAUGUCAUCACCAGAGCUCAACUAUCAUAACACAGUAGUCCUAAAUAUUCCAACAUAGCCAAAGCAAAAGAAAAUGACCACAAAACCAACUUUACAAUGAUGAUAGAGAUCCUUAAAGAAGAAAAUAAUAAAUCCCUUACAAAAAGCCAAGAAAAAAAAACAAUUGAAGGAAACAAAUAAAGCUGUGCAAGACCUGAAAAUGGAAAUAGAAGCAACAAAGAAGGCACAAAGUGAGGGAAUUCUGGAAAUGAAAAAUCUAGGUAAAUGAACAGGAAAUACAGACAUAAGCUUUGCCAACAGAAUACAAGAGAUGGAAGAAGAAAUCUGAGGCAUAGAAGAUACAAUAGAAGAAAUAGAUUCAUUGGUCAAAAAAAUUGGUUAAAUCUAAAAAAUUCAAGACACAAAACAUCCAGGAAAUCUGGGACAUGAUGAAAUGACCAAACCUAAGAAUAAUAGAAAUUAAAAAAGAGGAAAAUCCCAGCUCAAAAGCACAGAAAAUAUUUACAAAAAAAUCAAAGAAGACAGGAUCCAUCCUUCUGCUGCAUACAAGAAAUACACCUAAACAUCAAAGAUAGACAUUACCUCAGGGUAAAGGGUUGGAAAACGAUUUUCCAAGCAAAUGGACUUAAGAAGCAAGCAGGUUUACCUAUCCUAAUAUCUAACAAAAUAGACUUCAAACUAAAAGUAGUCAAAAGAGAUGGAGAGGAAUGCUACAUAUUCAUCAAAGGAAAAAUUCACCAAGAUGAUAGUUCAAUUCUUAACCUCUAUGCCUCAAAUUCAAGGGCACCCAUAUUUGCAAAAGAAAAUUACUUAAGUUUAAAUCACACUUUGACCCUCACACACUGAUAGUGGGAAAACUAAGUCAAAACCUAAGGAAGGAAAUGCUGGAGCUAACUGGAUGAUGCAACUGGAAACAACCUAGAUGUCCCUCAACUGAAGAAUGGAGAAAAAAACUGAUAGACUUUUAAAAAAAUAUAUCAUUAAAUUUACCCAGGCAAAUGGAUACAACUAGGAAGUAUCAUCUUGAAUGAGGUAACCCAGACCCAGAAAGACAAACAUGGCAUGUACUCACUCGUAAGUAGAUAUUAUCAGUUAAGUAAAGAAUACUCAUGCUAAAAUCCACAGGUUCAUAAAGGCUAAGUAACAAGGGGAUAUGGAUAUGGAUUUCACCUGGUCAGGGAAAAUAGAAUAGAUCAUUUCAGUGGACUGAGAUUUGGUGGCUAUGGAGAUAGGAGGAAUCAGGAUGGAGGGAGAGAGUGCAAGGAGGGACAACUGGCACCGGGGGGCAUUGGGGAAAUGUACUGCAGUGGAAACUCCCUACAAUCUACUAUGGUGACCCUAGAUAGAACUCCUCAUAAUGGAGGAUAUAGAGUCUGAACUGUCUACCAUCCGUAGCCCUAACCUAUAUGUUGGGAGCCAUACAGCUUGGCAUGGAUGAACCUUUAGGCCGAACUUGGCCAGACACACGGCUAUGGAACUGUCUUUUGAUUAUAAAUGGCUUCUAGAAGCAUGAGCACCCAGAAGGAACAACAUGACCCAGAUGUCAAUCCUUUGUUCCAACCCACAGGCCCACUUACCUAGGCAACCCUCCCUCACCCCAACAUCCAUGAACUUUGUACCCUGCCAACAUCCUCCUUCUAUAGUUUUCCUACCUUCUGCUUAAACUAACACCUGGUUCUUGGCCUCUUCUCCUCCUCCCCUCUACCCCACUCUACUGACUACAUAAGCUAGCCUGGGAAAAAUAAAAUUUGCCACUUGAUCAGAAUCCUGUCUUGUGGUCAUUCUUUCUUCGUCUAUUGUCUCUAGUCCCCUCCUUGGACAUCUUGCCCUAGGUUGCUGUCCUGAGGGUUGGGACAAAUACACCUAUAGAUGAUGAGGUCAGUUAAAAUAUCCAGUGGUUGAGAAAUAGCUAAUAAAAGCUGAUUAAUAAGACUUCAGACAGAUGAGCUCUAACAUCAGGGGUGGUUACAAAGUUUUUGUGGAGUAUGUGGAAUUUGUAUAUAAAAUAUAGCUCCUUGUCCUUUUGCAGAACCAUCUGUAAAAGCAUUAGAAAUGAUCUCUAUAAACUUUUUAGAUUUAACUUUUUAGCUUUAGAGUUAAGCAACAGCCAUGGGGUUUCUUUAAAAAUCUUAAAGGGAAAUCUUCAAGAUAAGAUCAUCUAUGGAUUCUGAGUAACCAGCUAACACUAUCUGCCAAUUUGUCUCAGUGUCACAAAUAACAGACCUGCACUGUAUUUAGUGGUAGCACGAUUUCUGUAGGCUCUUUACCAGUAGGUGGCGUACAGUGCGGAGGAUGGGGUGAGGUGAGCUGGGAUAGGGUGGAGCCACCCUCCACUCCUGGGAACUUAAGAAAGGGCCAUGGAACCCGGACUGGAAGUUUCAAUAAGCUUGCCUUUCCUCCCUAGCAACAACAGGGCCGAGUGUCUGAUGAACAAGUGGAGAAAAAGACAGAAUCUGGAGUGUUCCUGAGGGCUCAGCUGCUAAUGGGUGAGAUAAAAAGACAGGGGGUGUGGCAACCCUGAACAACAGUGACCUCACCUCUCAGUUCAUAGCUGCAGCUCUCAUGUGCUCCAGCAGGACUGAGAGGAUAGUGGUCCCCAGGGAGGGAGGGCCAGCGCCACAGGGAAGCGGAGUGCGCCCUGAAGAGAUGUAAAGAUGGGAAGUAGGAAUUACGUGGUUGGAGCAUGAGGGAACCAUCUGAAUUCACAGCCCAGAUGCCUGGAACUUCCGUGAAUCUCUGAGCAGGAUCCUCUGCAAAGUGGUUCUGAGGUCUUCCUUCUCAGCUGCAGUCACUCCUGUUACCUGGUCUCCUGAGAGAACCUUGGCAAAGGCUGCAGCAAUCCUUCCACCCUGGCUCUGUGCCCUUUGUCUCUAUUGAGCUGUCUGUGGUGCAUGCUUCUGGCCAGUGAGUUGCUAGGAUCUAACUGGAAGGCGGGGUGUGGUGGGGGAACCACGGACAGGACGAUGAGCUGCUGAGCUGCGGGGCUACUCCUCCUCCUCCACUGCCACCAAGCCACUCUGGCGGGCUCCAGCUCUUCACGCUGCAGCUUCCUCACCCAGGCUUCAGUGAAUUGGCAAAGUUACUGUGGGAGGACAGCACAGGGGCUACAUGAAUGAGAAGGACAAGGUGACACAGGGGAGUAAGUAACUGGUGGCCCCCUCAGCCCUACUGGGGUCCGCAGGAAGACGAAACCAAGUCACCAGAACGGGAUAUGAUUGGCACAGUGCGGGACCCCACCAGGCGGGGGUCUCAGACUUCUCCUCUGGACCUAAGGCAUGUUCUAAAGAGUGCCUUUCCCUGGGAUUCCUCACAAGCCUUCUACUGUUCCCCAAUCUCUUUGCCCUUGAGCUUAAUUUCCCACCUUCAUACUAUAUAUUAUCAUCAGAUCAUAAUAAAUAUUUCCAGGGCCAAGACCACCCACGUACUCGUUUUUUCUUUGCCUCCUUUGUUGUCAUUGUAUUUUAAGGCAGGGUUUCACCCUUUAACACACAUCUUAGAAUUUGCAGCACUUUCUUCUCUCCCUCUCCUAUCCACAAAGUGCCUUUUACCUUCUCUUCCACCAGGUGGCAAUCUGUGUUCACGACUGAAGAUGCCUUAGCUAAUCAGGGGCUGGCACACCUUGUCUACUGUGAAGGACUCGGGCAAUGGCAUGGGGUGGCGACAUGUGAAAGCUUCUGUUUUUGCCUCCCAGACCCAUGUCGUCUACUUCCUAGGGAGAUGGCAUCAG